RNAcentral lists this unclassified non-coding RNA (163 nucleotides) under uncultured Sordariales. RNAcentral's name for it is "sequence contains ITS2". The record is from RNAcentral. Lineage: Eukaryota; Fungi; Ascomycota; Sordariomycetes; Sordariales.
CAGCCCUCAGGCCCUAACCGGCCUGAUGUUGGGGCAUCUGCGGCUGACCGUAGGCCCUAAAAGAUAGUGGCGGUGUCCGCUAGCACUCCGGGCGCAGUAGAUUUCCUUCUCGCCGAGGAUGUCUUGCGGGCUGCCGGCCGUAAAACACCGUAAUGAUAGAAGG